RNAcentral lists this ribosomal RNA (454 nucleotides) under uncultured bacterium. RNAcentral's name for it is "partial 16S ribosomal RNA". It matches the Rfam family "Bacterial small subunit ribosomal RNA", at positions 355 to 797 of the family's 1533-position model. The record is from RNAcentral.
UGGGGAAUAUUGCACAAUGGGCGCAAGCCUGAUGCAGCCAUGCCGCGUGUGUGAAGAAGGCCUUCGGGUUGUAAAGCACUUUCAGCGAGGAGGAAGGUGGUGAGCUUAAUACGCUCAUCAAUUGACGUUACUCGCAGAAGAAGCACCGGCUAACUCCGUGCCAGCAGCCGCGGUAAUACGGAGGGUGCAAGCGUUAAUCGGAAUUACUGGGCGUAAAGCGCACGCAGGCGGUUUGUUAAGUCAGAUGUGAAAUCCCCGGGCUCAACCUGGGAACUGCAUUUGAAACUGGCAAGCUAGAGUCUCGUAGAGGGGGGUAGAAUUUCCAGGUGUAGCGGUGAAAUGCGUAGAGAUCUGGAGGAAUACCGGUGGCGAAGGCGGCCCCCCUGGACGAAGACUGACGCUCAGGUGCGAAAGCGUGGGGCAGCAAAACAGGAUUAGAUACCCUGGUAGUCCA